UAGGGGAGUCCGUGAGAGAGCGG
RNAcentral lists this microRNA (23 nucleotides) under Macacine alphaherpesvirus 1. RNAcentral's name for it is "hbv-miR-B22-3p". Its record names the gene hbv-miR-B22-3p. The record is from miRBase by way of RNAcentral. Lineage: Duplodnaviria; Heunggongvirae; Peploviricota; Herviviricetes; Herpesvirales; Orthoherpesviridae.